Molecule: long non-coding RNA, 1199 nt
Organism: Pipistrellus kuhlii (Kuhl's pipistrelle)
Lineage: Eukaryota; Metazoa; Chordata; Mammalia; Chiroptera; Vespertilionidae
Exons: 2
Source: RefSeq, a predicted model, not a curated record
UCUGUAAAACACAAGAAGAGGUGACUGAUGGGUAGGAGCAGCGACAUCCAUCAAGGCAGUAACGUCUGUAAUCAGUCUCUUCACGGAGGCAGACCAGUCUGUGCCUCUGGGUAGGAGCUCUCUGCCAGGCCAGGCCUGUGACUGCUGCCCUGUUCCCAUCUGCUCCUCUCUGCGAGGUAGCCCAGCUGCAUCAUCACUCCACCUAACUUCUGCUCGGCUGGUCAUGUCCCUCUUCUACUCAGAACCCUUCAACAGCCCCCAAAACUUCACUCAAAGGCCACCACCACCCAAACCUCAGCCCUCAUGCAGACUCACACUUCACCAGAAUGGUCUGUGUGUCAUUGUCUGUCAUGGCCAUGAUGAAAACAAGUGAGCUGAGAGUCUCCAUGAUACCCCAUUGACCUGCCCAACUACACUAGGUCAGAUGUGAGUUAUCCUGAGUUAUCCGCCAGGACCGUAUUCCUCCCUCCCUGCACGUGCCCACAACUGCUGGGAUGGCUGACUCCUCUUCCCUGGGCCCGCCCUCACGCUGCCUCAGCUUGAAUCUGCUGCUACCAAGGCAUGGAAUUGGCAAGUAUAAUGGACUCUCGGCUACUCGAGCUCAGGAACUUAAGAGCUGUGCUAUUUAGGUGAAGCUACUUCUUUUGGCCUGUUUCCUGGCCUGCAGAAUGGUUAUGCCACCACCUAGCGCACAGGGUUGUUGGAAGGAUUAAAUGAGAAUGCAUGUAAAAUGCCCGAUACAUAAAAAGUAUACAAUAAAUGUUUCACCUUGUGCUAAAGUAAAGCUUACUGAGAAAAGCCUGGGGCAAUGUCAAAUGAGAGUUAAGACUAGAAAGAAAGACAAAACUAAGCUGCUAUCUAGGCAGAGCUUCACAGCAGGUGUGUCAGGAAUGGCUUACGGGCUUGGUCAAGUAACCCUACAGUUUAUUGUCUAACCUGGAACAACUGUGAGAGUUAAAGAAGUCACCAUAAAUAAUUAUCCCAAGACCACAAAUGCAAACAGAACCGAGUUGACCCUAGAAUAGGUGUAAUGGACAUGGACCCCCGUCAGCCCCUGGGAUAGCAGGGCAGAGCCUGGGCUGCUGAGUCUCUAGUUUGCUCUUGACCCAGAGGAGCCUCAAUAUGCUCCUCAAAUACUUUCAUAUUUAUGUGUCAGAGCAUGAAAGACGUCAGGAAACACUGGUCUAGAUAACUAACUU